GCCGCGGUAAUACGGAGGGUGCAAGCGUUAGCCGGAUUUACUGGGCGUAAAGCGUGCGUAGGUGGUUUGUUAAGUCUGAUGUGAAAGCCCUGGGCUCAACCUGGGAAUGGCAUUGGAAACUGGCUGACUGGAGUGCGGUAGAGGGUAGUGGAAUUCCCGGUGUAGCAGUGAAAUGCGUAGAGAUCGGGAGGAACAUCCGUGGCGAAGGCGGCCAUCUGGACCAGCACUGACACUGAGGCACGAAAGCGUGGGGAGCAAACAG
This 262-nucleotide ribosomal RNA is filed under the name uncultured bacterium. Its description in RNAcentral is "partial 16S ribosomal RNA". It matches the Rfam family "Bacterial small subunit ribosomal RNA", at positions 514 to 775 of the family's 1533-position model. The record is from RNAcentral.